This 24-nucleotide non-coding RNA is filed under the name Arabidopsis thaliana (thale cress). Lineage: Eukaryota; Viridiplantae; Streptophyta; Magnoliopsida; Brassicales; Brassicaceae. The record is from RNAcentral.
UGGGUCUACGCACGUGGUAGCUCC